UUACAAAUUGGGUAUUACACCUCCCGUGUUAUCGGCCCAAGGAUUUCCCACAAAACAUGUAUAUUACAGUAUUCACAUUUGAUAUACACACACUUCGGAGAUAGAGCGGAAGACUUACAAAACAUUAUUUACAUUUCCAAAACUCAAGUUUUAUAUGCUAGAAAGAGUUAUAAUAUUUGCAAGUUCUGUUAGUCUUUGAAGUGCAUAACUUAAUUACAAUACUUGGAAAGGUGAAGCCUUUCCAUAAGAAAUACACAUAAGCAAACUAAGCUUGAAGACCUCCACAUGAAGCAACUAAUGAAGCCAAAGACAUCAAAACCUUUCCUGCAACAACAUAGGGAAUAAAACCCUGAGUAGGCAAUUACUCAGCAAGACUUACCCGACUAAGGAAAAGACUCUCAAGGGUAUGCUAGCUUUUGGGAAUCAAGGGAAAAGCUCAUUAAUUAUCAAAGGCUCCUUUUUGUAGAAAAGUAAGCUUACUAAGUAGAUCCUUAAGCCAAGUUUUACUUCACAGGUUAGGUUGUUACUUCAAUCUACUAACCUGAAUCUAGAUUUGCCUAAUCUAGAUCAUACACUUGGCCUACACUAGAUUGUUUUUAAUUAAAUCUUUGUUAUACUUGUUAACUACGAUGCAGAGCAGUGAUCCAGUCUUCAUAACCGAGAAGUAACGGCGAUCCGAAUCGAUUAAUACCCAGAUGGGGAUCUCCAACCACACGACAUAUGUAGCACUUAACCCUUGCAUAUGUCAACCAUUCCCACGGAUCCUCCACUACAUGAACUGGUCCACGCUACCCGGGAGCACAUUACCCUACCAUCCAGCCUCUUGCCAGGAGGAUAACUGCUACUCCCACCAUCUCCCACGCCCAGUGCGCGGUUGUCCUUUCACGUAUGGAAUAGACGGGUUCAGGCUUAUCCAUUACGAGGUGCAAGUCAACCACCCGACCUCAAGUGAUGACGGGUUCAGGCCAUGCCUAGAUAAUGAAUUUCUCACUGUAGAUGAUGCAUUCAUUAUCCCAAUCAAAUUUUCUUUUGGAAGUUAUGAGUCAUAGAUCAAAAAUAUUUUUCUAAUCUAUCCGCAUGAUUAAGCAUCUCUAGAUUUUAUAAAACAGAUGACAAGGUAUAGCAAUCAAUUCUUUCAAGGAAUGAUAAUGCAUCAAGUGUUUAAUCAAUCAACUCCUAUCACCUAAUGCAUCAUAUAACUGAUAAAAUUUUGUAAAUACAAGGAAGGUGGCAAAUGCACCGGGGCUUGCCUUUGUUGCAGAGAAGAUCCAAAAUCCUUCUACUAGAUAACCAGUUAGAUGGAACCACACCAAUGGGUAUUCAAGUACUGGAGCAAUUUCUCUUUGAUGUCCACUUCUUCAUGGAGCUCUACAUGAGAUAAUAUGGUUAUGAAUGAUUGUGCAAUGCCAUGAAAAUGCAACUUGCCUAGAGGGUAACAAAGAAUACAUCUAGAAUACACCUACAAGCUAUCAUCACAAGCUACAAGUCAUUAGAGAGCUAAUCCUUUUAAGAUUUCACCCAAACACCUCAAACUUAAUAAGCAACUUCAUCCCAUCACUAAGACACUAGAUGCCCUAAUUACCCAAGGAUGAAAUCCUUUCUUCUAUUUUGAGCAACAAUUAGUUUGCUAAGCAAACAUUGCCUAAACAGCUUCAAACUUUACCCAAGAGCUAAUAUGUCCAAGAUAAGCUUACAUAAUUUUCCUAUAAUUGUUAGUGCUCUAUUUUUAAACACACCUAGCACACAAUCUAAAUCUUUUCUUCUCCAAUCAUCACACACAAACACAGGAUAAGGACGAUGGCGCUAAUCAUAGCCUACCACAAUCACACAAGAACCAAUUCUUUUGGACUUUCUCUUGCAUUUACACAUAUAUCCGAACCGCACCUGCUCUAACACGCGACAAGCCGAUGAAGCGAGAGGAACACGUAAGGCCGCACGGAGAAAACACACCGAGCACGACAGCUUGUCGGGUGUGAGGACCUGCAGGAGAUGACGACACCAUUACUGCUAAGUACACAGCCGGUAAUUCCAAACAAAUAAAAAUUUAUGAUGAACCGACGAGGCAGACGGCUAGCGGCUUCACGACGAUUCCGCGAGUGCGAUGAGGUUAGAGCAGAGGUUGUGGGUUGUCGAAGACGAUGACGCGAAGGAGCUGUGGGUCGAGCAUGACUGGCGAGAAAACGACGAUGACGUCACGUCGCGCCAAGAGCUCAACGACGACGAGAGCACCGGUGAUGCUGUGAUGAAGUCGAGGGAUACGACGCUGAAACAACAGGUCGACGACGAGGUGGAGCUCAGACGGCUGUAGAACAGUGUUGAAGUACGCAGGACCGGACCUAGGCAAGGACGAGCAGAGACCGGAGGUUGGGACAUAACAGAAUCGACGACAGGUGCAGAGGGCCGAGCUGCUUUUACGUGAGGGAGCAGGACACUCACAGGCUGAGAGCGAGCAGUUGGGGAAGAACUACAGAGAAGCUUGCUAGAGCACAGCUUGGAAACGAGCAAGGACAGGCUGGCCGCUGGGGCUAGGAAACAUGGAGAGCGAACGCUGGGGCAGGUGAUGGCUGGGGGUUUUCCUGGGAGUUGAACGUGGUGAAGCCGAGCAACAGUUGGAGUUGCAGGUGACGUGAGGAAUUCUCCAUCCAGGAACAUCUAUCUCUAUUCGUAUGAGAGAAAAGAAAAAGAAUAUGGUAGCUCGUAGCUGUUGGGAUAAGAAAAAG
This 2720-nucleotide long non-coding RNA is filed under the name Zea mays. RNAcentral's name for it is "long non-coding RNA (ZMAY_LNC005472)". Lineage: Eukaryota; Viridiplantae; Streptophyta; Magnoliopsida; Poales; Poaceae. The record is from RNAcentral.